Molecule: ribosomal RNA, 790 nt
Filed under: Bacillus pumilus
Lineage: Bacteria; Bacillati; Bacillota; Bacilli; Caryophanales; Bacillaceae
Description: bacterial SSU rRNA
Rfam family: Bacterial small subunit ribosomal RNA
Source: RNAcentral
GUUCGAGCGGACAGAAGGGAGCUUGCUCCCGGAUGUUAGCGGCGGACGGUUGAGUAACACGUGGGUAACCUGCCUGUAAGACUGGGAUAACUCCGGGAAACCGGAGCUAAUACCGGAUAGUUCCUUGAACCGCAUGGUUCAAGGAUGAAAGACGGUUUCGGCUGUCACUUACAGAUGGACCCGCGGCGCAUUAGCUAGUUGGUGAGGUAACGGCUCACCAAGGCGACGAUGCGUAGCCGACCUGAGAGGGUGAUCGGCCACACUGGGACUGAGACACGGCCCAGACUCCUACGGGAGGCAGCAGUAGGGAAUCUUCCGCAAUGGACGAAAGUCUGACGGAGCAACGCCGCGUGAGUGAUGAAGGUUUUCGGAUCGUAAAGCUCUGUUGUUAGGGAAGAACAAGUGCAAGAGUAACUGCUUGCACCUUGACGGUACCUAACCAGAAAGCCACGGCUAACUACGUGCCASCAGCCGCGGUAAUACGUAGGUGGCAAGCGUUGUCCGGAAUUAUUGGGCGUAAAGGGCUCCCAGGCGGUUUCUUAAGUCUGAUGUGAAAGCCCCCGGCUCAACCGGGGAGGGUCAUUGGAAACUGGGAAACUUGAGUGCAGAAGAGGAGAGUGGAAUUCCACGUGUAGCGGUGAAAUGCGUAUAGAUGUGGANGAACACCANUGGCGAAGGCGACUCUCUGGUCUGUAACUGACGCUGAAGAGCGAAAGCGUGGGGAGCGAACAGGAUUANAAACCCUGGCAGUCCCCCCCCCAAACCGAUGAAGUGCUAAUUGUUAGGGGGG